UUUUUUUUUUUUUUUAAGUUUUUUUUGGUUAAGAGAUUUGAGCUUCAAUUUGAACUUUACAUAGCAUUUUGUUUUCCUCCUUUUGGAGCACUUUCUGUUCUAAGUUUUGUAAAUAUAGAGUAGAUCAUUUUUAUAGCCUGAGUGCCCUCAUCUUCGGAGUGUUUUUUGGUUUAUUAAAUUUCAUAGUUCUUAGUAUUAAGAUUAGAGUAGCCUUUUCCUCCUUCAGGAGCGCCUUUUUGUUAUUUCUUUGUAUUGUCCGUUGGACCCAUAGAUUUUCAUAGCCUGUUCUGUUGUCAUUCUGUCAUAAUUUCUGCCAACCUGCAUCUGAGUCCUCUUUUUCUGCCCAAGCCUGACAGUAUACUCUGGCCAGUUAUGGACUCAGCAGAGGCAGUGCGACUUUCGGAGAUCCAGGAGGCUCGUCUCAAUAGCCAGGAGGAGUUUCAAACAGCCAUGACAGCCAAUAUGGGUCACUUCUCCUCUCAGCUGCAAGAGCUACUGGGACAGCUCAAUCGGCCGAGCACCGCAGCUCUGACUCCGACUGCCCCAGCUUCCCCGGAGACUCCCAUGCACACCGGUGGAGCUUCCUGCAAACGGGUGCCACCUACUCUGUACAUGGGGGAGCCUGGGCUUUGCAAAGCUUUCUUAAUUGAUUGCUCAAUUCAUUUCGAGCUACUGCCGCACGCCUUCCCCACCGAGCGAGCGAAAGUAGCGCCCACUUGACGGGUCGGGCCAAAGCUUGGGCUUCCGCCGAGUAGGGCAGGGGGUCCACGAUCUGUGACACAGUAACGGGAUUUCAAACAGCUCUCACCAAGACCUUUGAUCCCGUAAGCUCUUGCUGAGAAAAAGCCCAGGAAUUAAGCACUUUGAAACAAGGUAAAAACUUUGACUACGCCAUUCACUUCCGCACUCUGGCUGCUGAGAGCGGAUGGAACAACUCCGCCUUGUAUAACAUUUUUCUAAAAGGCUUGGCACCCGCAAUUCAAGAUCUCCUCAUUCCCCUGGAUUUACCGACUGGUCUGGAUGCACUCAUCGCACUUGCCAUUCGUACUGACAAUCGACGAUCUCAACUCCAAGGACAGCGUGAACCGAAGCAGAGUCUCGGGAGGAGUUACUACUGCACCGGAGUUAAGAUGGCCGACAUCUCAUCGAUCACCGCCUGAAACUCCUUCUCACCUGCAAACAGCACCAGACGACGAGGCCAUGCAACUGGGCAGAGCUCAGUUGAUGCAGGAGGAAUGACAGAUGGCAAUAGGAGGGAAGGUGCUUCUAUUGUGGCGGCGUUGGUCAUCUUGUCAGCUCCUGUCUGACCAAGAAACCUCAAUCGGGCCUGAGAGAGGCUAUGAACUACAUCACCGGCUCACUGGAAGCAGGAUUGAUCCGCUCCUCAUCUUCACCCACUGAAGCAGGAUUCUUCUUCGUGGGGGAGAAAGGACGGCUCUCUAUGCUCCUGCAUUGACUACAGUCCUCUGAACGACAUCGCCAUCAAAAACCGGCCGGGAUCCCGAAACAUCAAACCAGAUGUCUUGUCAUGCCUAUUCGAUCCCGAGCCUAAGACCAAGCAAACGGAAACUAUCCUUCCUCUGAAUUGUGUGGUUGGAGUGGUGACUUGGCCUAUAGAAAACGAGGUAAAGCAAGCUAAUGGUGGAGCCCCAUCACCACAGUUGUCCCAACAACUGUCUUUUGUCCCUGCUGCGCUACAACCACAGGUGAUUCAUUGGGCCUACACCUCGCUGCUUUCGUGUCAUCCGGGAGUCAAAAGAACCAUGUUCGUCAUUUCCCAGAGGUCAUGGUGGCCCACGAUGGAGCCGGAGGUCCGGGAGUACAUCGAGGCUUGUCCGGUCUGUGCACAAAAUAAGACAUCUUCCAAGGCACGCAUGGGGCUACUUCAACCACUCCCCAUUCCCUCCAGAUCAUAUCCAUUGACAAGGAAAAACACCAA
Molecule: long non-coding RNA, 1939 nt
Organism: Acanthopagrus latus (yellowfin seabream)
Lineage: Eukaryota; Metazoa; Chordata; Actinopteri; Spariformes; Sparidae
Exons: 3
Source: RefSeq, a predicted model, not a curated record